RNAcentral lists this ribosomal RNA (497 nucleotides) under uncultured bacterium. RNAcentral describes it as "partial 16S ribosomal RNA". It matches the Rfam family "Bacterial small subunit ribosomal RNA", at positions 28 to 507 of the family's 1533-position model. The record is from RNAcentral.
GAUGAACGCUGGCGGCGUGCCUAAUACAUGCAAGUCGAGCGAACAGACGAGGAGCUUGCUCCUCUGACGUUAGCGGCGGACGGGUGAGUAACACGUGGAUAACCUCCCUAUAAGACUGGGAUAACUUCGGGAAACCGGAGCUAAUACCGGAUAAUAUAUUGAACCGCAUGGUUCAAUAGUGAAAGACGGUUUUGCUGUCACUUAUAGCUGGAUCCGCGCCGCAUUAGCUAGUUGGUAAGGUAACGGCCUACCAAGGCAACGAUGCGUAGCCGACCUGAGAGGGUGAUCGGCCACACUGGAACUGAGACACGGUCCAGACUCCUACGGGAGGCAGCAGUAGGGAAUCUUCCGCAAUGGGCGAAAGCCUGACGGAGCAACGCCGCGUGAGUGAUGAAGGUCUUCGGAUCGUAAAGCUCUGUUAUUAGGGAAGAACAAAUGUGUAAGUAACUAUGCACGUCUUGACGGUACCUAAUCAGAAAGCCACGGCUAACUACGUG